Molecule: long non-coding RNA, 5336 nt
Filed under: Gallus gallus (chicken)
Lineage: Eukaryota; Metazoa; Chordata; Aves; Galliformes; Phasianidae
Description: lncRNA (ENSGALG00010007136.1)
Source: RNAcentral
UUUUUGUAAAAUGGGGUGCAGUUACUGUUACUAAGUAAUUUCUGGCUUACGAACUGAUUCAGACCAUCCUAAACUUGAACUUGUUCAUCACAGCUGCAAGAAACUACUGAAAAAAAAAAAAAAACACUUAUGUGCUUCUCUGUUUCUUUUAUACUCAUACAUGGGGUAGAAGUUUUUUAACCAGUGAUGUCAAAAUGGUCCAUAUUUUACUAGGGAUGAAGAAAGAACAGCUUGCAUGAUACUAUCCAGUUCAGACUGGAGCUCUACCGAGGUCAAAGAGAUAAAAGAGAGAUGUGAAAUGUGGAAAAGUAAAAUGAAAUGUAGUGUCUCAUAAAUGCACACAAGCAUAUUCAACAUCUCCCUGUGUAGCCACAGAUGCUUUUACCCUUGUCAUCUCACAAGGAAAAAGAAAAACUGCUUCUUCAUUAACAUCCUUCUUUUUCUCUAACUGUAGAGUAGACUUCAGAUAGUUAAUACCUAUAUACAGUGAAGAAGUUGAGAAUGAUCAAUUUAGUGUUACAUGAAGAACAUUCCCAAAAUGCACAUUGACCUCUCACUGGCCCUAUUCAUUUCACUUUUCUUUGUCAUCAUAACCUCUGUAACAUCAUAGAAAACUGCACUCAUAUCCUCGUUCUAUGCUCCAAGCAGUUUAGCUUGUAUGAAUUGCACUAUGUUCACUUUUUAAAGUGAAGUAUCUGAUAUUUAAGUUCAUUUUUUAUUAUUAUGCAUUUUAUUUUACUUCUUUCCAUGAUCUUUUAUUGUCUAAAGUCUAGAUUUCUGCCAAGUUUCUGAACUGCACUUGUCAGAGUAUUGCCCACAACUCUGGGAUCCUUUGUUGAAGCUGUAGAAAUAAAAUGAAUAGUAUAAAAGCUUGAUGGCAUCUGUGGAUAGGAAACUCAUUAAAAGCCUCAGGCUUCUGUUUUAUUCCUAACCACAUUGCCCUGUGGGAUUUCAAGGUCUUGCAGGAUGAAACCAGCAGGACUCAUUACUUCUAAAACAAUGUUUAGAGUUCUAUUGGUGGUGGAAUGCUUCUGCCAGUCAGGUAAAAAACCUAGGCCUUUAUCCUUACUGAGACAAUACCGGGCAGCUCAGAAACUGCUUGGAAAAGUCAUGCCUUUGAAUGCAACUGCAGGUGUUGCUCCUCAAAGACUGUUGGUACCCUCCUAUGCACCCUUCAAAGGAAUAAUAGCAAAUUCACUUUGGGAUUCAAAUGAAGUCUAAGAAAAAUUCAAAUAAUAGGAACAAACUUUUGAGACUUCCUACAUUUUUCCCACGAACUUAUGGACCAUGACUAAUACCCUGAGGGCAAAAAAACAUCCUUUUUCCCUCUUACAUAGGAGUAGAAUUCACCAUGUCAGAUAAAUAAGUUUCAUGACCUCACCUUGUUUAAGGCUACCAAGCAAUUACUAGCAAAGGCUACUCACCAAAGUGAGAAGAGAGUAUGGUCCUCUGACUGCUCACAUUAAUUAGAAAUAGACUGAAAUUUAUAUAAUAAAAGAAUAGUUAAAACUGUUAUGAAAUUUCUCCAGAAGAAAUAAAGUCAAAACAUUCAGUAAAAAGUAUUCAGUAGUAUUUUGAGUAAAUUCAUAGCUCAAAUCUUCUUUGUGAUUGAUAUAAUUAUGAAAAUAUUACUGAAUAUGUGAUAGGAAAAAGUAAUGCUCUUGCAAGUGUGGGACUGAGUUAGUACUUAAAGCAGUAUCAUACCUUUGUUAUGUAGAAUUCCUUUUACAGAUUUUCUGAAUAACUUAUCCACACUGAAAAUUUCAACCAUUUUAUAAAAAUGUAAAUUAAUAAUUAAUAUACUUUUACACUGACAUAUUAAUUAAAAUAUUGUAUAUUUAAAUGUUAUUUAAGAAUCCAAGGCAAAACUCCCCUUCAAACUUCCUGAACAUUGAUCUCAAGAAAAAAUAUUUUAAAACAAAAUUAUUUUACCCACAAAUUUUCUUUGUAGAUGAUCCAGACACAUAAAGAUCACAUUUUCCUUAUCUGUAAAACAGCUAGAUAUGAUGAUAGAAGCAGUAAUAAAUGGCAAACAACUAGAUUACUAAAUUACAAACAGCAGAGAUUUUCUCUUUUUGAACAAGUUUGCUAUCAGUGAGCUCAUCACUGCACCAUUUACUGAGUAAGCCGCAGUAUUUAGAAUUGUUAAAUCUAAGGCAUUAGAAAGAUAGACUGUUUUUUGUUUUUUUUCAUCAGUUUUCAAAAUAACUAUUCAACAAAGUGGUGGUAAAGCAUUUUUCUUUCUAUUUGUCUUGUCUUUUUGUUUGCCUACUUCAACUCCAAGAGCUCUCCCAUAAUAUCUCAACAGAUCAAAUAUGUUUGAGUUUUGAAAGCAUUUUGUUUCAAAAUUUAGCAUUCUGUAACAAACUUUAGCAAAAAUUCAGUCUGUAAACUAAAAGAUUGUUUCCUUAGAAUUUACAUCUGUAUUCUCUUAAUACAAAUGGAUCUAAUGUGGCUUAUAUUCUAUGAGGUCAAUUUACUUAGCAUAUGUAGUUCUUUCUUUUACCAACAUUUAAAUUAGAUAUAGGAAACCACAGCAUUAUUUCUGGUAGUAAAUGAGGGGACUGAAGACUAUUGGACAAAAACAAAUGAUGCCCUUCAAAGGAAGAUACAGUUGGGAUCUUUGUGUAAUUGUUUCUGCAUUACUGUUCCCAAAGGACCAGCUGAAGAGAUUACCAACUCUAGACAACUCCCAGAUGUUUGUUGCCAUCCUCUUGCCAAGAAAUGCUGCCUUGUCAGAUCCACUGGUUAAAUUACGUGUGCUAUCAUUUCCUAAUUUAUAUCAAAAUGAGUUUAGUUGGCAAAACAGGUAAGCAAAAAAAAAUCUAUUCUUUUCAUGGUUUAUGCUGGAUCAUUUUAGUAUUCAUAACCUAGAAAAUAAUCUCAGCAGAAGCUUCUGCUCAAAAGCUAAUGGGUUGGCAGCUACUGAAAGCAGUAUGGGGUUGGUUAACUUCAGAUAAUAGUUACAACUAAAAGAGGAGAGAUGCCCACACCAUACAGAUUUAUGUCAGGGUCAAGCAAAAUAUUUGGGCAGCUAUGUAAUCUAAAGCAUGUUGACCAUUCCACUGUUUUAAAUGUAACUACUUAUAAGCUAUUUCUUAAGAUUGCUUUUAUAUUGUUGUAGAAGACACAACCACAUGAUGAGGUUUAUUUCAAUUAAAGUUAUAUAUAUGAAAAUUAGGCAUCUUAUCUGCAUUCAUACUCCCAGUUUGUCCUGCAAUCAGUGGAACAGGUAUCCCCAGGAGGGUAAUUCCAGUCAUUACAACUAAGAUGUAAGCUGCAGUCUGAAGUUCAUCAUGGAGGAGUAUCCUCAUCUAUUAGUACAGGUUGGGGGAUUAUCUGCUCGUGAGGAGCUCUGCAGAGAAGGACAUGAGGAUCCUGGUGGAUGACAGGUUGGCCAUGAGCCAUCAGUGUCCCCUUGUGGCCAAGAAGGCCAGUGGUAUCCUGGGGUGCAUUAAAAAGAGCAUGGCCAGCAGGUAAAGGAAGGUGAUCCUCCCUCUCUACUCUGCCCUUGUGAGGCCAUAUUUAAAAUACAAUUUCCAGUUUUGGGCUCCUGUAAGAGUUUGCUCCUUUUUUGCACCUUCGUCUCAAAGCUUGCUAAAGGCAACACAUGGACAAGUCCAGGCAAAGUUUGAGAAAUCCUUUGUCUGAAGAUUUGCAGGCCAGGGGCAAGGAGAGAGAGAUGAGUAGCAACUUAAUGGCCAAUAAGCAAUCUUUUGUGUGAACUCAUCUCGAGGGAGAUAACUGUACCUGCAUGCUCAUGGAUGCUGCACAUGACUCUUACCUAAGUGCCCAGGAACACCAUGGCAGAAGAAGAUAGAAAAAGGAUCUACAACUGAGUGAUGUCUGAUACCAGAUACCUCAUGAUGUGAUACCUGCCUGCUGCUGGACUUUCCUGGGCCUGCUACCUGAGACCUACCUGUUUCUCCUGGACUCGCUCUUGCUGCACCUGCUUGUUGCCUAAGGCUGGCCGCUCUGCUGCUGCUCUCCUCUGCGCCCUUGCUCCUGUAUUGGCCUUGGACCAUCGGAAUGGUGUGCAAUGGGAUGCUGCUGGAUCUUGGUGAUCUAUCCACCUCAACACUACCAAAUUGUGUAUUCUCUCAAGUCCUUUGUACAUGUCCCAAACACAGAGAUGUAAACAGCAGAUGUAUAAACAGGAGUACCAGUUUCGUGUUAGGAAUUAAACACACAAGACUCCAUCACUUUCCUGUGGGACACUCGUAUACUGCGUAGUCUGAAAUGCAUUAUAGUAACCUGUAUCUUCUGGGAAUUCUCUGUCUCCAUGAACCACGGCAGCAUUGAGUGGAGCAGAAACCGAAUUUCGGCCUUGAGAAAUCAAACUCCCUAGAUAAAGUCAUGAAGAUGCAGGUGUUUUAUGAAUUAUGUCUAAUAUUAAAUAACAGCUAUCAACAAAAUAAUCCGCCCAUGCCUUCUAUUCACCAAAAUAAUAGCAACAUAAAAAUACAUAUCAUAAAGUAGACGACCUCCAACAGUUUCCCUCUACAGCUACGUUAAAUGUACUUAAUCCAGUGUGGAUGGCAACAUAAAGCAACUUUUAUUCAUAUCCCCAUGAUUCUGCUUCACCUCAAUGAAAUGAAUACCGCUUUCAAAGAAAAUUGAAAACCAAAUCAAAACCAAAAAAACCCUACUGUCAUUAUAAUACCUGCAGAGUGAUACCACUAACGGACCUGACUGUUUGUUUCUAAGGAAGAACAGCUGUGCAACAGACUGUCUGAACAGUCACUAUUACAGAAUGCAACAUGGAUCACUGACACAAAGGAAGCACUACACCAGCUGGCUUUCUGUCUUAGAGCAUUUCUAUUCCUAGAUGAUUUACCUGUUCUCAGUCCUGUCACCUUAGCACUUCUACUACCCAAUUAAAAAAUGAUGUUGCUGAAUUCUCUCUGCUGUAAAUUAAAUAUGUUAUUUAUCAGAUCAAACUGCUAUGGUUUUUUUUAAACUUUGCAAUAUAUGACUUAUUUUUAAACUUAGCUGCUUGAUUAUUUAUUUAUGGUAUAUUUUGUUCUCUUGUAGAGUUUAGAUCAGAAAAAUUCUUUUCUAAUGUAUUCACAUGCAGUGAUCUACAUUUCCUAAUCAUAAUCAUGUCAGCAAAAGCGGAGCUGCUCUUAGGAUAACGUUUUAGUCUAGAAAAUGAUUUCCCUUUAAAAUGGAUUCAAUGGACAUGAUGAUAUAAAAAGAAGAUGCAAAAUUACACACAACAGUUUGCAUAAUCAAAACAGAUAUGUUUUGUAUUCAGGGAAGAUUUCUUUUUGCUACAUUAAAUGGAAGAAAAUAAACCUUUUGGAAUUCUGCAAGUGUGCUGUGGAUGUAAAGGC